This 253-nucleotide ribosomal RNA is filed under the name uncultured bacterium. RNAcentral's name for it is "partial 16S ribosomal RNA". It matches the Rfam family "Bacterial small subunit ribosomal RNA", at positions 524 to 776 of the family's 1533-position model. The record is from RNAcentral.
UACGUAGGUGGCAAGCGUUGUCCGGAAUUAUUGGGCGUAAAGCGCGCGCAGGCGGUCCUUUAAGUCUGAUGUGAAAGCCCUCGGCUCAACCGAGGAAGGGCAUCCGAAACUGGCGUGCUUGAGUAUGGAAGAGGGUCUCGGAAUUCCCGGUGUAGAGGUGAAAUUCGUAGAUAUCGGGAGGAACACCAGUGGCGAAGGCGGAGACCUGGGCCAAUACUGACGCUGAGGUGCGAAAGCGUGGGGAGCAAACAGG